GUCGAGCGGAUGAGUGGAGCUUGCUCCAUGAUUCAGCGGCGGACGGGUGAGUAAUGCCUAGGAAUCUGCCUGGUAGUGGGGGACAACGUUUCGAAAGGAACGCUAAUACCGCAUACGUCCUACGGGAGAAAGUGGGGGAUCUUCGGACCUCACGCUAUCAGAUGAGCCUAGGUCGGAUUAGCUAGUUGGUGAGGUAAAGGCUCACCAAGGCGACGAUCCGUAACUGGUCUGAGAGGAUGAUCAGUCACACUGGAACUGAGACACGGUCCAGACUCCUACGGGAGGCAGCAGUGGGGAAUAUUGGACAAUGGGCGAAAGCCUGAUCCAGCCAUGCCGCGUGUGUGAAGAAGGUCUUCGGAUUGUAAAGCACUUUAAGUUGGGAGGAAGGGCAGUAAGUUAAUACCUUGCUGUUUUGACGUUACCAACAGAAUAAGCACCGGCUAACUUCGUGCCAGCAGCCGCGGUAAUACGAAGGGUGCAAGCGUUAAUCGGAAUUACUGGGCGUAAAGCGCGCGUAGGUGGUUCGUUAAGUUGGAUGUGAAAGCCCCGGGCUCAACCUGGGAACUGCAUCCAAAACUGGCGAGCUAGAGUAUGGCAUAGGGUGGUGGAAUUUCCUGUGUAGCGGUGAAAUGCGUAGAUAUAGGAAGGAACACCAGUGGCGAAGGCGACCACCUGGGCUAAUACUGACACUGAGGUGCGAAAGCGUGGGGAGCAACCAGGAUUAGAUACCCUGGUAGUCCACGCCGUAAACGAUGUCGACUAGCCGUUGGGAUCCUUGAGAUCUUAGUGGCGCAGCUAACGCAUUAAGUCGACCGCCUGGGGAGUACGGCCGCAAGGUUAAAACUCAAAUGAAUUGACGGGGCCCGCACAAGCGGUGGAGCAUGUGGUUUAAUUCGAAGCAACGCGAAGAACCUUACCAGGCCUUGACAUGCAGAGAACUUUCCAGAGAUGGAUUGGUGCCUUCGGGAACUCUGACACAGUGUGCUGC
Molecule: ribosomal RNA, 988 nt
Filed under: Stutzerimonas stutzeri
Lineage: Bacteria; Pseudomonadati; Pseudomonadota; Gammaproteobacteria; Pseudomonadales; Pseudomonadaceae
Description: bacterial SSU rRNA
Rfam family: Bacterial small subunit ribosomal RNA
Source: RNAcentral